AUUGAACGUUGGCGGCAGGCCUCAGACAUGCAAGUCGAACGGUAACAGAUCGCUAGGAUCCCUUCGGGGUGACUUUGAUGCUGACGAGUGGCGGACGGGUGAGUAACGCGUAGGAAUCUACCCAGUAGCGGGGGAUAGCCCGAGGAAACUCGGAUUAAUACCGCAUACGCCCUAAGGGGGAAAGGCCGGGAUCUUCGGACCGGUCACUAUUGGAGGAGCCUGCGUUGGAUUAGCUAGUUGGUGGGGUAAAGGCCUACCAAGGCGACGAUCCAUAGCUGGUCUGAGAGGACGAUCAGCCACACUGGAACUGAGACACGGUCCAG
This 323-nucleotide ribosomal RNA is filed under the name uncultured bacterium. Its description in RNAcentral is "bacterial SSU rRNA". It matches the Rfam family "Bacterial small subunit ribosomal RNA", at positions 30 to 334 of the family's 1533-position model. The record is from RNAcentral.